RNAcentral lists this ribosomal RNA (230 nucleotides) under uncultured microorganism. Its description in RNAcentral is "partial 16S ribosomal RNA". It matches the Rfam family "Bacterial small subunit ribosomal RNA", at positions 524 to 754 of the family's 1533-position model. The record is from RNAcentral.
UACGUAGGUGGCAAGCGUUGUCCGGAAUUAUUGGGCGUAAAGCGCGCGUAGGCGGGAGAGUAAGUCUGUUGUUUAAAUUCGGGGCUCAACCCCGUCAAGCAAUGGAAACUGCUUUUCUUGAGUGCAGGAGAGGAAAGGGGAAUUCCCAGUGUAGCGGUGAAAUGCGUAGAUAUUGGGAGGAACACCAGUGGCGAAGGCGCCUUUCUGGACUGUGUCUGACGCUGAGGAGC